Ochotona princeps (American pika) is the source of this 104-nucleotide small nuclear RNA. The record is from RefSeq and is a predicted model, not a curated record. NCBI's taxonomy places the organism in Eukaryota, Metazoa, Chordata, Mammalia, Lagomorpha, Ochotonidae.
UUAGUUUCAAAAGCUAGCAUUGUUCAAUCUAAAAUUGAACAAUGAGAUCAACAUGUCCCCUGUAUAAGGAUGACACAUAAAUUUGUAAAGUGUUCAAUAUGUAU